Molecule: ribosomal RNA, 1364 nt
Filed under: Lactiplantibacillus plantarum
Lineage: Bacteria; Bacillati; Bacillota; Bacilli; Lactobacillales; Lactobacillaceae
Description: bacterial SSU rRNA
Rfam family: Bacterial small subunit ribosomal RNA
Source: RNAcentral
CAUGAUUUACAUUUGAGUGAGUGGCGAACUGGUGAGUAACACGUGGGAAACCUGCCCAGAAGCGGGGGAUAACACCUGGAAACAGAUGCUAAUACCGCAUAACAACUUGGACCGCAUGGUCCGAGCUUGAAAGAUGGCUUCGGCUAUCACUUUUGGAUGGUCCCGCGGCGUAUUAGCUAGAUGGUGGGGUAACGGCUCACCAUGGCAAUGAUACGUAGCCGACCUGAGAGGGUAAUCGGCCACAUUGGGACUGAGACACGGCCCAAACUCCUACGGGAGGCAGCAGUAGGGAAUCUUCCACAAUGGACGAAAGUCUGAUGGAGCAACGCCGCGUGAGUGAAGAAGGGUUUCGGCUCGUAAAACUCUGUUGUUAAAGAAGAACAUAUCUGAGAGUAACUGUUCAGGUAUUGACGGUAUUUAACCAGAAAGCCACGGCUAACUACGUGCCAGCAGCCGCGGUAAUACGUAGGUGGCAAGCGUUGUCCGGAUUUAUUGGGCGUAAAGCGAGCGCAGGCGGUUUUUUAAGUCUGAUGUGAAAGCCUUCGGCUCAACCGAAGAAGUGCAUCGGAAACUGGGAAACUUGAGUGCAGAAGAGGACAGUGGAACUCCAUGUGUAGCGGUGAAAUGCGUAGAUAUAUGGAAGAACACCAGUGGCGAAGGCGGCUGUCUGGUCUGUAACUGACGCUGAGGCUCGAAAGUAUGGGUAGCAAACAGGAUUAGAUACCCUGGUAGUCCAUACCGUAAACGAUGAAUGCUAAGUGUUGGAGGGUUUCCGCCCUUCAGUGCUGCAGCUAACGCAUUAAGCAUUCCGCCUGGGGAGUACGGCCGCAAGGCUGAAACUCAAAGGAAUUGACGGGGGCCCGCACAAGCGGUGGAGCAUGUGGUUUAAUUCGAAGCUACGCGAAGAACCUUACCAGGUCUUGACAUACUAUGCAAAUCUAAGAGAUUAGACGUUCCCUUCGGGGACAUGGAUACAGGUGGUGCAUGGUUGUCGUCAGCUCGUGUCGUGAGAUGUUGGGUUAAGUCCCGCAACGAGCGCAACCCUUAUUAUCAGUUGCCAGCAUUAAGUUGGGCACUCUGGUGAGACUGCCGGUGACAAACCGGAGGAAGGUGGGGAUGACGUCAAAUCAUCAUGCCCCUUAUGACCUGGGCUACACACGUGCUACAAUGGAUGGUACAACGAGUUGCGAACUCGCGAGAGUAAGCUAAUCUCUUAAAGCCAUUCUCAGUUCGGAUUGUAGGCUGCAACUCGCCUACAUGAAGUCGGAAUCGCUAGUAAUCGCGGAUCAGCAUGCCGCGGUGAAUACGUUCCCGGGCCUUGUACACACCGCCCGUCACACCAUGAGAGUUUGUAACACCCAAAG